RNAcentral lists this ribosomal RNA (401 nucleotides) under Yersinia sp. AZTITEMP300. RNAcentral's name for it is "bacterial SSU rRNA". It matches the Rfam family "Bacterial small subunit ribosomal RNA", at positions 977 to 1378 of the family's 1533-position model. The record is from RNAcentral. Lineage: Bacteria; Pseudomonadati; Pseudomonadota; Gammaproteobacteria; Enterobacterales; Yersiniaceae.
ACUCUUGNNNCNNCAGAACUUAGCAGAGAUGCUUCGGUGCCUUCGGGAACUGUGAGACAGGUGCUGCAUGGCUGUCGUCAGCUCGUGUUGUGAAAUGUUGGGUUAAGUCCCGCAACGAGCGCAACCCUUAUCCUUUGUUGCCAGCACGUAAUGGUGGGAACUCAAGGGAGACUGCCGGUGACAAACCGGAGGAAGGUGGGGAUGACGUCAAGUCAUCAUGGCCCUUACGAGUAGGGCUACACACGUGCUACAAUGGCAGAUACAAAGUGAAGCGAACUCGCGAGAGCAAGCGGACCACAUAAAGUCUGUCGUAGUCCGGAUUGGAGUCUGCAACUCGACUCCAUGAAGUCGGAAUCGCUAGUAAUCGUAGAUCAGAAUGCUACGGUGAAUACGUUCCCGNG